Non-coding RNA from Lactuca sativa (garden lettuce), 2292 nucleotides. The record is from RefSeq and is a predicted model, not a curated record. Lineage: Eukaryota; Viridiplantae; Streptophyta; Magnoliopsida; Asterales; Asteraceae.
AAAUCAGAGAAACCUUAACCCUAAUUAGCCUCCACUCUUGACACCAGCCAUGCUUUCUCCACCGACGAAUAGCUUCCUAAGUUCACCGAUUACUUCCAGCAAAUUAAUUUUUUUUCCUUUGCAAAGUGGUGGUUUGAAUUUGAUACUGAUCUUGCUCUUCGAAGUCUUCUCUUCCCCUCAAUCUUGUGUUUAGCUUAGCCGCAUCCUUAUAUUAUAAUCAACAAUAAAAGAUCAAGGCUGGAUUUAGGUAAAUUGAAGCACAAACGAAAUAUUGGGGCUGGAUCUGGAAAAAUAGAAAGUAAAAAUCUUUUUUAUAUAGUCGCACCCCUAUGCCCUCUCUAUGAACAUCCACCAUCGGUACCACUGCAACCAGCCAUCUACAACCCUUCACCAUCUCCUUCAUCUUCCGGCUCUCACGCUCUCAUCAACUCUCGCAAUCCGCUAAAACUGUUCGGAUUUAAAGAUUUCGCCUAUCACAUUCUCCGUUUUUUCUUCUUCUUCUUGAUGACCCAUUCAAAAUUUCACAUAUUUUGUAUGUGGCUUGGUUGCAGGUUGAUUGUUGAUUAUUUCAGUUGGUUUUCCCCUUCCCAUUUCAUGUGUUCGUCAUCUUGCAAUCUGAAGUCUUCUACCGAUUUAUGUUUUUCAGACCUAAAUCGACUUAUGGUCUCUGUUUCAUUUUGAUUUUUAGCUUUUGAAACCCUCAAGGUUCAAGCCCUAAAUCGAUUUAUGGUUCUCAUGUAAAUAUUGCAUCUUAUGUUAGAGCAUCAUUUUGAUUGUUAGCUUUUGAAACCCUUAAGGUUCAAGCCCUAAAUCGAUUUAUGGUUCUCAUGUAAAUAUUGCAUCUUAUGUUAGAGCCAUGCUUGCUACCAAACUUUCUGAGCUUGCUUUCGUUGAUCCAAAUAGGGCAAACAUGACUUUGGGAACUGAUUAGGGGGAAUAAGACAUUCACAUUUGUGGGGAUGUCUUUAGUUAACGACUAAAGAAUAGGUGAAGAUGACUGAACCAAGCGAGAUUUCUAAAUCCAACAAGCAUCCUGAUAAGAACCCAAUAAUAAGAAGGAAACAGAAGCUAUGUUUAAACAAAUCUGUGAAUCAUAUGAUGUAUGUCUCACUUCCUUUCUCCAUAUCUCUGUAUGAUGUAUUUACCGUUAAUUGCUCAAAUUCUUAUGAUGUGAAUUCUUAAUUGGGUGUUUGGUAGUUUUUAUGUAGAUUGAAAUACAUGAUCUUCACUAGCAAUCAACUAAGUAUAAGUUCAUUUGCUGAUGUGAACCAUUUGGAUUCAGUUUUAUUGUUGUUAUUGGAUUUUGAUUAAAAUAUUGUGUAGCAAAAUUGGUUUUUGAUGAAAUUAUCUAAAAUACAAAAUUUCUACCUUCUAAUUGAUUAGGUUUUCAUACUGGAUUGGAAAUUAUGUGAUAGAAUAAUUCAAAUUCCUUCUAAUUUCUAUAAAAGAACAUUUUUUUAAGUUUGUGAAUUGUGAAAUUAGAACGCUGAUUUUAGUCGAUGAGUAUUUUUGGAACAACUAAGAUUUUAUAAAUGUAAACUAAUAACUAUCAAAAUCGGUUUAAUUCAAAAGAUAUUCCAUUUUUUUCACUUCUUUCUGUUUCGUAAUAUAUUGAAGGAACUAAGUUACUGAUAUAUAUUGGUUUAUAACAGGGUUGAUUUUCUUUUUAUUUUUCUCUAUUAAUUUUAUCUUUUUUACUAUUUAUUGUAAGUACCCAUCUAAUCAAAUUUAUCUCUUUAAAAAAAAAACAAAUCUACGAUGAUAAUUGGUAUAAUGCUGGAAAAGGUGCUCAUCUUACACUAAAGCGUGCAGAAAAUGGAAAAAUAUAUGAUAAGCGGACAAUACAAAAAAAGUCGAGGGAUUCUACCAAGGAGACUACAGUGUAUAUCGACAAAAUUAUUAAACUUCGAGAAGUGACAUUUGUUCAUGGUGUAGAUAUUCAGUGAGAUAAUGUUGGUGGUUGUUGAUGAUGUUGGGAUUCAAGCAAAUGAUUCUGAUAUAGUUCGAAUGCAAGACUCUUGGGUUUGAUGUAUUCAUAAGUACACAACCAAUGAACCAAUUAGUAAAAUAAGUCCCGGUAAUAAGGAUGAAUACAAUAAUGGAAAGGGAUCUAAAGGUUGAAUAAGACCUCUUUUAACCUUUAAACUUUCUUGAUGUAUACCCAAUUUUUGUAAUUAUGUUAUGUAAAGUCUUAGUUAUGACUAUAUAGAACUUGGCGAAUUUGACUUUAUGGACAUAUCUUAAUAUCUUUUUUGUGUGAAAUGAAGCAUGACAAGUGAACUACAAAGUAAA